UGAAGUGUCAACACGGAGGAGGGCGGAAUGGUUUUCCUGUAUUAACCAGAAGAAUAUGGACCGCAGUGCGAACCACUACAGAAUCUGCAAUAAGCAUUUCAUUUCAGGUCGUCCAUCAUACCUAAUGGAUGAGUCCUAUCCGGACUGGGCGCUCUCGCUUCAUCUUGGGCACGGGAAAGAAAUGAACGGUGACGGCUCGUCAUCUCGGUACACGAAAAGGCGCCGAGCGGAGUGAUCGGGAAGUCCCCUAAAGCAACUGCAUGAGAAUGCACAAGGAAGUAGUGCUGUGCUGGAUUCACCAUUGAUCUCCGAAGACGAUGAAGCGCUUUUUGAUGAUGAUCCUGAUAUCCAAGAGGCUCCUGAUCAAGAAUGCACUGAUGGAGGUUCAAUGUAUCCCAGUCAACUGUGCCUAGGGUUGUCAACAAGUGGAUUGAUGUGGCCUUUGUCCGCCUCUCCCGUGCUGUGAAGUGGCCAGAACCUGAAGAGUUGCAGCUGUAGUGAAGAGGAAGACGAAGAAGACGGCUCUUGUGCUGCUGUGCACGCGAUCAGCGUUCGUGGACUGCCGGUGCAACUAGACUGUGCCUAGUGACUCGUAAUAAAUCCACAUAUUACAUUUGGUGGAGGUGCUUCACUCCCCGACCUCAUCCUGGAACUUAGCAGCCGAACUUUGACAACUGCUCCAGCCGCUACUAUG
Dermacentor albipictus is the source of this 694-nucleotide long non-coding RNA. RefSeq lists it as uncharacterized. The record is from RefSeq and is a predicted model, not a curated record. NCBI's taxonomy places the organism in Eukaryota, Metazoa, Arthropoda, Arachnida, Ixodida, Ixodidae.